UUUACUUCAUUGGGUAGGGGAGCGUUCUGUAAGCCGUUGAAGGUGUGUUGUAAAGCAUGCUGGAGGUAUCAGAAGUGCGAAUGCUGACAUGAGUAACGAUAAAGGGGGUGAAAAACCUCCUCGCCGGAAGACCAAGGGUUCCUGUCCAACGUUAAUCGGGGCAGGGUAAGUCGACCCCUAAGGCGAGGCCGAAAGGCGUAGUCGAUGGGAAACGGGUUAAUAUUCCCGUACUUCUUACAAUUGCGAUGGGGGGACGGAGAAGGCUAGGUGGGCCUGGCGACGGUUGUCCAGGUUCAAGUGCGUAGGCUGAAGAGUUAGGUAAAUCCGGCUCUUCUUAAGGCUGAGACACGACGUCGAGCUACUACGGUAGUGAAGUCAUUGAUGCCAUGCUUCCAGGAAAAGCCUCUAAGCUUCAGAUUGUAAGGAAUCGUACCCCAAACCGACACAGGUGGUCGGGUAGAGAAUACCAAGGCGCUUGAGAGAACUCGGGUGAAGGAACUAGGCAAAAUGGUACCGUAACUUCGGGAGAAGGUACGCUCUUGAUGGUGAAGUCCCUUGCGGAUGGAGCUGACGAGAGUCGCAGAUACCAGGUGGCUGCAACUGUUUAUUAAAAACACAGCACUGUGCAAAAUCGUAAGAUGACGUAUACGGUGUGACGCCUGCCCGGUGCCGGAAGGUUAAUUGAUGGGGUUAGACUUCGGUCGAAGCUCUUGAUCGAAGCCCCGGUAAACGGCGGCCGUAACUAUAACGGUCCUAAGGUAGCGAAAUUCCUUGUCGGGUAAGUUCCGACCUGCACGAAUGGCGUAAUGAUGGCCACGCUGUCUCCACCCGAGACUCAGUGAAAUUGAAAUCGCUGUGAAGAUGCAGUGUACCCGCGGCUAGACGGAAAGACCCCGUGAACCUUUACUACAGCUUGGCACUGAACAUUGACCCUACAUGUGUAGGAUAGGUGGGAGGCUUUGAAGC
RNAcentral lists this ribosomal RNA (966 nucleotides) under Vibrio jasicida MWB 21. RNAcentral's name for it is "bacterial LSU rRNA". It matches the Rfam family "Bacterial large subunit ribosomal RNA", at positions 1215 to 2163 of the family's 2925-position model. Lineage: Bacteria; Pseudomonadati; Pseudomonadota; Gammaproteobacteria; Vibrionales; Vibrionaceae. The record is from RNAcentral.